This 799-nucleotide ribosomal RNA is filed under the name uncultured Bacillota bacterium. Its description in RNAcentral is "bacterial SSU rRNA". It matches the Rfam family "Bacterial small subunit ribosomal RNA", at positions 60 to 878 of the family's 1533-position model. The record is from RNAcentral. Lineage: Bacteria; Bacillati; Bacillota.
AGUCGAGUGCGCGGUUGUAGCAAUACAACUGGCGCACGGCGCACGGGUGCGUAACACGUGGGUAACCUGCCCUUUGGUGGGGAAUAACUCCGCGAAAGCGGAGCUAAUUCCGCAUAAGAUCCGCAAGGAUGAAAGCAGCAAUGCGCCGAAGGAGGGGCCCGCGCCCGAUUAGCUAGUUGGUGAGGUAAUGGCUCACCAAGGCAUUGAUCGGUAGCUGGUCUGAGAGGAUGAUCAGCCACACUGGAACUGAGACACGGUCCAGACUCCUACGGGAGGCAGCAGUGGGGAAUCUUGCACAAUGGGCGAAAGCCUGAUGCAGCGACGCCGCGUGGGGGAUGAAGCAUUUCGGUGUGUAAACCCCUUUCGAUCCGGACGAAACCCCGCAAGGGAUUGACGGUACGGAUAUAAGAAGCCCCGGCUAACUACGUGCCAGCAGCCGCGGUAAGACGUAGGGGGCCAGCGUUGUUCGGAAUUACUGGGUGUAAAGGGUUCGUAGGCGGUGCGGCAAGUUGGGAGUGAAAUCUCUGGGCUUAACCCAGAGGCUGCUUCCAAAACUGCUGUGCUUGAGUGUGGGAGAGGCGCGUGGAAUUGCAGGUGUAGCGGUGAAAUGCGUAGAUAUCUGCAGGAACACCCGUGGCGAAAGCGGCGCGCUGGACCACUACUGACGCUGUGGAACGAAAGCUAGGGGAGCAAACAGGAUUAGAUACCCUGGUAGUCCUAGCCCUAAACGAUCAGGACUUGGGGUGCCACCCGUUCGGGUGUCGUCCCGGAGCUAACGCGUUAAGUCCUGCACCUGGGG